GACUCUCGGCAACGGAUAUCUCGGCUCACGCAUCGAUGAAGAACGUAGCAAAAUGCGAUACUUGGUGUGAAUUGCAGAAUCCCGUGAACCAUCGAGUUUUUGAACGCAAGUUGCGCCCGAAGCCUUUCGGCCGAGGGCACGUCUGCCUGGGCGUCACAU
This 159-nucleotide ribosomal RNA is filed under the name Nemosenecio nikoensis. Its description in RNAcentral is "5.8S ribosomal RNA". It matches the Rfam family "5.8S ribosomal RNA". Rfam says of the family: 5.8S ribosomal RNA (5.8S rRNA) is a component of the large subunit of the eukaryotic ribosome. It is transcribed by RNA polymerase I as part of the 45S precursor that also contains 18S and 28S rRNA. Lineage: Eukaryota; Viridiplantae; Streptophyta; Magnoliopsida; Asterales; Asteraceae. The record is from RNAcentral.